Molecule: long non-coding RNA, 1760 nt
Organism: Scophthalmus maximus (turbot)
Lineage: Eukaryota; Metazoa; Chordata; Actinopteri; Pleuronectiformes; Scophthalmidae
Exons: 2
Source: RefSeq, a predicted model, not a curated record
UCUGAGAGAGGACACAGGUCACACACAGUAAUCAUCGAGCGUUCAAACCAGUCGGGACAGUGAGGGAGGGGGAACGCAAAGGUCACUUCAGUCUCCUUUACCUGAGGAGAUCUUGCAGAUGAAGGGCUUGGCCACGUCGCACCUGGUGUCAUUCCAGGUCCCGUGGAACACGCGCGACGCGUGCAUGCUCACGCAGCCCUCAUCCUUGAUGUUGCUCGGCUCGCCGGGUCCCCACUGAGUGAAAAACACUGGCCAGCCGUCGGUCCACGCGUACGAGCCGUCGUCCUGCGUGAACAAGGCAACGUGAGCUCGUGGAGGUGUUGCUUCAAAUGCCCCCUCAUGAAGUGUUUUCACAGUGACAGUUGGAUUUGACUGGAUUUCAUUCCUCUUCAGGAUUUCUGCCUCCACCCCGAAACAAAAAGAGUCAAACUAAAACGGUGUGCAUGGCUGGAUGCCACUGGCGGUAGUUCAGACUGACCUUGCGCCUGAGGCCGAUCCAGGCGUCGGCUCUGCCCUGCAGCACCGCUCCUGCGAGGAAGGCCUGGUCGUAGCUCAUGUCGACGCUGGCCAGGUUCCCCCCCUGCUGCUCGCAGGCCGUCUGGGCCGCGUCCCAGGACGCCGGCUCCUCCAUCAGCUUGUAGCAGCUCUGGUACCAGGAGACGUACCCGUCCGGGCAGGGGCUUGCGGUUGGGGGUGGAGGGUCGAUACUGCUCGCUGAUGUGGAGGAAAGACAGAGAAAAAUCUUUAAUAAGGGUCCGAAUAGGGAUUUUCUAUAUGUUUUCUGUAAUUGCAAAUGUUAUUUCAGCUGGAUAAAUGAGGACUGGGUGUUGACUGACAUUUCUUCCUGUAGCAGACGAAGCUGUGAUCCUUGUGACAGGCAUCGUCAUUCCACUUGCCACUCACGAGCGGGCUGUGACUCAUCGCCACGCAGUGUUCCUGUCGGGGGAUGACGAGAGAGUUUAAACUUUACAACCACGGUGUGUUGGUUCAUUUUUACAACACGUCCCGUCUGCUUUGCUCCACUCAUCAAAAGGACAAAUCCUCACCGCUCCGCCUGCGUUGUUGGGCUCCUUGUCAUUCCAGUUGGUGUAGCGCACGGGGCUGACCCCGUCACUCCAGGCGUACUGGUUCUCUGACAGCAGAUCAGACAGGCCGAUCCAUGUGGGCAGCUCCAGGUCCCUCAGGUAACUGGACACAAAGUCUGGAGGAGAGGAGGAUUCAAAUAUUUAAAAUACUUCUGCCAAACUGGACUCAUGAAUAAUUUUUUCUCUCUGCUGAGCUCACCGUUCUCGUAUUGGUCAUCAAUCACCGCCAGCUCCCCUCCUUGGUCUUUGCACCAACUCCGAGCGUGAGACCAGUUGGCUUUGACGUCGUCUUUCUUCCCUUUGAACAUGAAGCACUUGUCCUUGAACCGCAGCCAACCUGCAGGGAAGGAAGGAAGAAAGGAAAGUAAAUAGGCUGCGUUAUAGUUCAAGGACGCUCCAAGCUGAUGCCCUCGAUCGAAAGCACAGGUGUACGGCAGUUUUAUUUUAAAUUUCAUUUCAAACACAGUUGGGAACUGUAGUUUUUAGCAAACAGGAGUAAAUUGUGCACUUAUUGUGGACUGAAGUACAUCAGUACAGAAAAUACUUAAGUUACAUUAGUAGGAUCAAUUCAUUUUUGGUUUUGGUCUGUUCAUGACAUUUGCUGACAAUAAGAAAAUAGGAUGUAUCACCAGACCUAUUUUCUAUAUAUCUAAAUAAAUAUGUACUUAACAUCUA